RNAcentral lists this ribosomal RNA (497 nucleotides) under uncultured bacterium. Its description in RNAcentral is "partial 16S ribosomal RNA". It matches the Rfam family "Bacterial small subunit ribosomal RNA", at positions 899 to 1397 of the family's 1533-position model. The record is from RNAcentral.
ACUCAAAGGAAUAGACGGGGGCCCGCACAAGCGGCGGAGCAUGUGGCUUAAUUCGACGCAACGCGAAGAACCUUACCAGGGCUUGAAAUAUACGGAAAAGCCAUAGAGAUAUGGUGUCCUUCGGGGCCGUAUACAGGUGGUGCAUGGUUGUCGUCAGCUCGUGCCGUGAGGUGUUGGGUUAAGUCCCGCAACGAGCGCAACCCCUGUCCUAUGUUGCCAGCGAGUUAUGUCGGGGACUCAUAGGAGACUGCCGGUGUCAAACCGGAGGAAGGUGGGGACGACGUCAAAUCAUCAUGCCCCUUACGUCCUGGGCUGCACACAUGCUACAAUGGCCGGUACAGAGGGCUGCAACCCCGCGAGGGUGAGCGAAUCCCAAAAAGCCGGUCUCAGUUCGGAUUGGAGUCUGCAACUCGACUCCAUGAAGGCGGAGUCGCUAGUAAUCGCAGAUCAGCAACGCUGCGGUGAAUACGUUCCCGGGCCUUGUACACACCGCCCGU